CUCCUGGAGAAGAAAGUAAGUGUGGCCCAGUGGCUCGUGUCACUUCUCUAAGUUUUUUUCUUCCUUGUAGAAAAUUUAAGUUGAUAAUAACAAUAUUACAUUGCAAUGUGUUCUAAUAUCAAAGUAAAUUGUUUUCAGGUGAGUAAAAAGAAAAAAGGCACCCGUCCUCCUCACUACCUAGCAGUGACUUCAAUUUGUCAGUGAAUUGAAGAGACAGAGAUGAAGCGGACGCAGCACGUGAAGACAAUUCUUUCAAGAAGUUUGGCUGUAAAGGAAAAGAUAAAGUUGUUCCAGACUCAUCUUCAACAUUUCCUGCAGCAGACCUGGAAUCAGCCACUUCUCCAAGGAACACUGGUUCUUUUCAAUGGGAAAUGGUAUUUUAGAGGCCACAAUCUGCACAAAGAAACAAGGAAAAGCUAAACCUCUGGGUGUGAAACUAAACAUCACGAAGAGAUGUAUGCAAGGAGAAGACAGCAGAUACCAGAGGCUCAACGAUGUCGUGUGAAUAGAGGGCACAUGCCUUUAACCCUCACUUUGUUCUUACCAUCGUCAGAAUCCCAGGCAGGAAAGAGCACAUGGGCCAAGAUUGUGUAACCAGCCCUAUAGCACAGCUUCCCUUUAAAGGAAUCAAGCAACUCACCAAUGUGUUCCUCUUCUACCUCCUCAAAGCCCACUUGCCUGGCUGGCUGUCAAGGUUGGGCCUCCAAGCCAUCAACCCAUGGAGGGUGGAAAAAACCACCCUACUAACUCUAACAUUUCAUCCAACCACAUUUCCCCACUUAUACUACAUGUCUACUCUUUCCUUUGCUCAUUCUCUCUUACCCUUCACCCCUCCUUCCCGUGGACACUUCACUGAUCAUCCACGAGUACUUCAACAAGUCCUUCGUAGUCCUCUCCUUCCCCAGCCUGACAGAGGCUGCAUGGCAUAUUAGAAACAGCACGGGCUUUGGACUAUGAAAGGGUAGGUUUGACUCUUGGCUCUGUAUGAAUGAGCUUUAUGACCUCGAACACAUUAUCAUGAGACUUCUAGGCCUUAGUUUCCUCAUCUGUAAAUGGGGGAAAUAACAUCUACUUUGUAGAGUUGUAGGAUUAAUAAUGAUGGUGUCAGUGUCUGACACAGUAGCUCAGUAAAUAAUAACUAAUACAUAAAAACCCCAUGUAAGAAAGGCCACAAAGUAUCUUUAUUCCUUGUUUUCU
Long non-coding RNA from Herpailurus yagouaroundi (jaguarundi), 1197 nucleotides. RefSeq lists it as uncharacterized. The record is from RefSeq and is a predicted model, not a curated record. The transcript has 4 exons. NCBI's taxonomy places the organism in Eukaryota, Metazoa, Chordata, Mammalia, Carnivora, Felidae.